UCACGUGGCAGCUGCGACAGCAGCGUCUCUGUGAGGAGGCGCAGAGCCAUGACGUCAGCAUCCACCAAGGUCGGAAAGAUAUUCUCUGCAUCUGGCGCAGCCUUCAUUAAGCUGGAGGAUCUGAUGAUGCAGCUGCAUCCGGUGGCUGACCGGGGGUGCGAAGUGGACCGAGACGGAAAUAGAGAUGCUGAGGGCUGCUGUGAAGCGAUUUGGGGACGAUCUUAAUCAUAUCAGCUGUGUCAUCAAGGAACGAAUAGUGGCUCAGAUAAAGGCCACAGUGAAGCGCAAGGUAUAUGAAGACUCUGGCAUCCCCCUUCCUGAUGAGUCACGCAAGAAAGGGCCCAAGAAGUUGGCAUCUGGUGUUUUGUCACCUCCUCCAGCAGGCCCUCCACCCAGCAGUUCCAUUGUCCCUGAGGCCGGGGAACCCCCAUAAAGAAGCAGAAGGCUGAUGUGACUCUCAGUGCUCUGAACGACUCCGAUGCCAACCGUGACCUAGUGGAUAUUGAGGGGUUAGGAGAAACUCCGCCAGCCAAGAAACUCAACUUUGACCAGGCCUGACCCUGGAUUCUGGCCUUCUUAUGACCUCUGCUGA
Molecule: RNA transcript, 592 nt
Organism: Chrysochloris asiatica (Cape golden mole)
Lineage: Eukaryota; Metazoa; Chordata; Mammalia; Afrosoricida; Chrysochloridae
Gene name: chromosome unknown open reading frame, human C17orf49 pseudogene
Exons: 1
Source: RefSeq, a predicted model, not a curated record